This 746-nucleotide ribosomal RNA is filed under the name Vibrio cholerae. RNAcentral describes it as "partial 23S ribosomal RNA". It matches the Rfam family "Bacterial large subunit ribosomal RNA", at positions 2179 to 2925 of the family's 2925-position model. The record is from RNAcentral. Lineage: Bacteria; Pseudomonadati; Pseudomonadota; Gammaproteobacteria; Vibrionales; Vibrionaceae.
GUUGGAGCCGUCCUUGAAAUACCACCCUUGUAUGUUUGAUGUUCUAACUUAGACCCGUUAUCCGGGUUGAGGACAGUGCCUGGUGGGUAGUUUGACUGGGGCGGUCUCCUCCCAAAGAGUAACGGAGGAGCACGAAGGUGGGCUAAUCACGGUUGGACAUCGUGAGGUUAGUGCAAUGGCAUAAGCCCGCUUAACUGCGAGAAUGACGGUUCGAGCAGGUGCGAAAGCAGGUCAUAGUGAUCCGGUGGUUCUGUAUGGAAGGGCCAUCGCUCAACGGAUAAAAGGUACUCCGGGGAUAACAGGCUGAUACCGCCCAAGAGUUCAUAUCGACGGCGGUGUUUGGCACCUCGAUGUCGGCUCAUCACAUCCUGGGGCUGAAGUCGGUCCCAAGGGUAUGGCUGUUCGCCAUUUAAAGUGGUACGCGAGCUGGGUUUAGAACGUCGUGAGACAGUUCGGUCCCUAUCUGCCGUGGGCGUUGGAAGAUUGAAGGGGGCUGCUCCUAGUACGAGAGGACCGGAGUGGACGAACCUCUGGUGUUCGGGUUGUGUCGCCAGACGCAUUGCCCGGUAGCUAAGUUCGGAAUUGAUAAGCGCUGAAAGCAUCUAAGCGCGAAGCGAGCCCUGAGAUGAGUCUUCCCUGACAGUUUAACUGUCCUAAAGGGUUGUUCGAGACUAGAACGUUGAUAGGCAGGGUGUGUAAGCGUUGUGAGGCGUUGAGCUAACCUGUACUAAUUGCCCGUGAGGCUU